This is a long non-coding RNA of Acinonyx jubatus (cheetah), 1805 nucleotides long. RefSeq lists it as uncharacterized. The record is from RefSeq and is a predicted model, not a curated record. The transcript is spliced from 5 exons. Lineage: Eukaryota; Metazoa; Chordata; Mammalia; Carnivora; Felidae.
AGAGCAGUUGUCUGGGGGUGGGAGCACCCAUUCUGCUUCCCCUCUCUGGCCCGGACACACCCACAGCAGGGGCCGGUCCCUCAUUUCCCCGCCCCCCAUCUCCAAUCCCUUGGGAGGCCCCAAGGAGGGUGGGUUCUUUAGAAGAAGGUUCCCUACUUGAUCCAAUCAAGCUGCCACUGGUCGCUGCCUGCACUGGGGAACGUGGCCGGCCCCGGGCGUGGGAGCCGCCUCCCGCCCUGGCCAGAAGGUAAACGUCCUGCAGAGCUGCCUGGGGUGGGGAGGGGCUGGGUGGAGACCACCUCCGACUCCUGGGCUGUCUCCAUCCCUGGCCGAUCCUCGAUCCUCGGUGCUGGAGCUUAGCAAACGAGUUCAUGCACAGUCUGCCCCUGUGCAGACGAGGAGCCUGAGGUCCAAGAGGACCCAGGAUGCUGUGACCACCUCUGCCAACCUCUGGGGCUUCUCGGGAACCCUGCUCCAGGGAGGUGCUUCCUUCUCUGAACCUGGGUUUUCUCAACUGUAAAACGGAUGUAAUCUGGUGCCCACCGCCCCAGCCACUGUGUGGGCAGAGGGCAGCUGGCAGGCCUUGAUGGGGCUUCUCCUGCAGUUUGACAAAGUUCCCUCCAGAUGAGUCCUAGGCUUCUAAGUGCCCAAGAAACCAGCAGAGCUGCAUUCCAGAUCCCCUGGCACAAGGGCUAAGGUCUCGGGGGCUGUGGUGCCGAACCUGACUUUCCAGCCCCAGUCGUCUCAAGAGAGAAGGUCCCCCUUCCCACAGAUGGGCCGGCCAGGGCCCCCCGGAGAGAAGGUCGCUGACACCCAGCUGUCUGGUGCCCCUGCCGCCCUCCACCAUGCCCUUGGAGAUGCCGUCCUCGGUCCCGAGGACUCGGACCUGGUGCCCUCUGUGACCCUGGCCGCAGCCCUGGUCCUGGUGUUCCUCCUGCUCUUGGCCUGGCUGGUGUAACACAGGCCCCUCUGAGUCUGCUGCUGCUGUGGCCUCCGAGGCAGAGGGUGGGGUAUCUGUUGGCCGGGCUGGGCAGGAGUCAGGAGUGGAGCUCCAGGAGCAGAUCCAGGGACGGGGCUGGAGGGUGGGGGUCUGCAGAGGUGGGGAGUUGAGGGUUUGCCGCAGGGCUGGAGUCCCCAUCUUUGCACGACCAUCUGGGUGCUGCAAACAAAGCCAGGUGAUCCCUGGGAAUUUGUGGAACGAAAUCAAAGUGAGUCCAGAAGCGAGCGUUCCAGCCCAGGCUCUGUCCACGAAGGGUUGUGACGGUCCAUGUGGUCUUGGCCCGCCACCUGCUGGCUGAAGUGAGAAUUGCACCAUCUGCGGUGCGAUCCCUUGGGGGUUCCUCAGGGCAGAGGAGAGUCACAGCACGCACCUGUGUGUCCAGGCUGGUGUGCUGGGAGCGGCAGAUGCCCUCUGUCCCCCACCGCUGCGUGGAUUCAGCCCAGUGGAGAGGGCAGGCCCAGCGUGUGGCAGGGGCAGGGCUCUGCUGGGGCCAUAAACUCCGGGAACUGCACCUUCGAGGAGGAUCCCAUUCAGGGACCGGUUUUAUAAAUGCUGAAGGUUCCACUUGGGGUUUUUCCUGCCCCGGCUCCUGCCUCCCGCCCCCCCCCCCCCCCCCCCCCACCGACUUCCAGGGAUACUGGGGCAGCCAGAUGCCUGAGGUGAAGGAAAUAUAUGCUUUGGGUGGGUUGCCCGUCGCCAAGGGUGACACGAUGGGCCUGGGACCUGGGGUGGGGCUGGCAGACCGCUCCUGAGCAGGCUGUCAGCGUCGCUAGGGGUAGGCAGCCUACCUGUGUGAGUGUGCAUG